GUAGUUCACUUCACAUGAAUAGAGCUUGAAGGACUGGAAGCUACUCUGGAUGGAGUCUAGCUCUAUUGCCCAAGCUGGAGUACAAUGGCACGAUCUUGGCUCAUUGCAACCUCCGCCUCCUGGGUUCAAGCAAUUCUCCUGCUGCAGCCUCCAGAGUAGCUGGGACUAUAGGCACGCACCACCAUGCCCGGCGAAUUUUUGUAUUUUUAGUAGAGACGGGGUUUCAUUAUGUUGGCCAGGCUAGUCUCAAACUCCUGACCUCAGGUGAUCCACUAACCUCGGCCUCCCAAAGGGCUGGGAUUACUGGCAUGAACCACCGUGCCUGGGCUGUGCUAUACUUUUAUAUGACCGGCAGCACGAUUUGUUUACACCAGCAUCACCACAAACAUGUGAGUAAUGCGCUGCACUAUGACUUUAUUCUGGCCACAGCAUCACCAGGCAAUAGGAAUUUUCCAGCUCCACUAGAAUCUCAUGUCAUGGUACCACCAUUGUCUAUGUGGUCUUCUGUUAAACAUUGUUACGAGGUGCUUGGCGGGGUGUGUGUGUGUGUGUGUAUGUGUGCACAUAUAUGUGUGUGUGGAUGUGUGUGUGUGCGCCAGGGUGUGGGUGUGUGUGUGUGUAUAUAUGUGCGUGUGUUCUGUCUCUGGAGAACUAUCCCUAAU
Molecule: long non-coding RNA, 662 nt
Filed under: Homo sapiens (human)
Lineage: Eukaryota; Metazoa; Chordata; Mammalia; Primates; Hominidae
Description: HSALNT0082546
Source: RNAcentral